This 505-nucleotide ribosomal RNA is filed under the name uncultured bacterium. RNAcentral describes it as "partial 16S ribosomal RNA". It matches the Rfam family "Bacterial small subunit ribosomal RNA", at positions 28 to 507 of the family's 1533-position model. The record is from RNAcentral.
GACGAACGCUGGCGGCGUGCCUAAUACAUGCAAGUAGAACGCACAGUUUAUACCGUAGCUUGCUACACCAUAGACCGUGAGUUGCGAACGGGUGAGUAACGCGUAGGUAACCUGCCUGGUAGCGGGGGAUAACUAUUGGAAACGAUAGCUAAUACCGCAUAAUAUUAAUUAUUGCAUGAUAAUUAAUUGAAAGGUGCAAUUGCACCACUACCAGAUGGACCUGCGUUGUAUUAGCUAUUAGGUGAGGUAACGGCUCACCUAGGCGACGAUACAUAGCCGACCUGAGAGCGUGAUCGGCCACACGGGUACUGAGACAGGGCCCAGACUCCUACGGGAGGCAGCAGUAGGGAAGCUUCGGCAAUGGACGAAAGACUGACCGAGCAACGCCGGGGGAGUGAAGAAGGUUGUCGGUUCGUAAAGUUCUGUCGUAAGCGAAGAACGGGUGUGAGAGUGGAAAUUUCACACUGUGACGGUAUCUUAUUAGAAAGGGAUGGCUAACGACGUG